GUCGAGGGGCAGCAUGGUCUUAGCUUGCUAAGACUGAUGGCGACCGGCGCACGGGUGCGUAACGCGUAUGCAACUUGCCUCACAGAGGGGGAUAACCCGUCGAAAGACGGACUAAUACCGCGUACACUCUAUGUUGGGCAUCCAAUGUAGAGGAAAUGAAAUUCGCUGUGAGAUAGGCAUGCGUCCCAUUAGCUAGUUGGUGAGGUAACGGCUCACCAAGGCGACGAUGGGUAGGGGAACUGAGAGGUUGAACCCCCACACUGGUACUGAGACACGGACCAGACUCCUACGGGAGGCAGCAGUGAGGAAUAUUGGUCAAUGGGCGAGAGCCUGAACCAGCCAAGUCGCGUGAAGGAUGACUGUCUUAUGGAUUGUAAACUUCUUUUAUACGGGAAUAACAAGAGCCACGUGUGGCUCCCUGCAUGUACCGUAUGAAUAAGCAUCGGCUAACUCCGUGCCAGCAGCCGCGGUAAUACGGAGGAUGCGAGCGUUAUCCGGAUUUAUUGGGUUUAAAGGGUGCGUAGGCGGCCUGUUAAGUCAGCGGUGAAAUCUAGGAGCUUAACUCCUAAAUUGCCAUUGAUACUGGCGGGCUUGAGUGUAGAUGAGGUAGGCGGAAUGCGUGGUGUAGCGGUGGAAUGCAUAGAUAUCACGCAGAACUCCGAUUGCGAAGGCAGCUUACUAAGGUACAACUGACGCUGAAGCACGAAAGCGUGGGUAUCAAACAGGAUUAGAUACCCUGGUAGUCCACGCAGUAAACGAUGAUAACUGGGCGUAUGCGAUAUACAGUAUGCUCCUAAGCGAAAGCGUUAAGUUAU
Molecule: ribosomal RNA, 815 nt
Filed under: Porphyromonas sp. 1aAG15-1_x3
Lineage: Bacteria; Pseudomonadati; Bacteroidota; Bacteroidia; Bacteroidales; Porphyromonadaceae
Also listed under: 1 other name
Description: bacterial SSU rRNA
Rfam family: Bacterial small subunit ribosomal RNA
Source: RNAcentral